This 206-nucleotide ribosomal RNA is filed under the name uncultured bacterium. RNAcentral describes it as "partial 16S ribosomal RNA". It matches the Rfam family "Bacterial small subunit ribosomal RNA", at positions 524 to 729 of the family's 1533-position model. The record is from RNAcentral.
UACGGAGGGUGCGGAGCGUUGUCCGGAAUCACUGGGCGUAAAGGGCGCGUAGGCGGCUCGGUAAGCGUGUGGUGAAAGCCUGGGCUCAACCCGGGUCGGCCAUGCGAACUGUCGAGCUGGAGCACUGGUAGAGGCAGGCGGAAUUCCGGGUGUAGCGGUGGAAUGCGUAGAGAUCCGGAAGAACACCGGUGGCGAAGGCGGCCUGC